RNAcentral lists this long non-coding RNA (1663 nucleotides) under Paramuricea clavata. Lineage: Eukaryota; Metazoa; Cnidaria; Anthozoa; Malacalcyonacea; Plexauridae. The record is from RNAcentral.
UAGAAACAAUAGUAAUAAAUGAAGAUAAUGUAAGUGAUGAAGCAUUAAGUUUGCAGGUGGUUAAUGAAGAGAUCAUUGCCAUGGAUAGUGUGAGUGUGCAGGAGGUGAUUGAAAAGGUAACAAUCGAAGACAACGUAAGUAUACCCGGAGGCAAGAGAAAAUAUUUCGAUGAAACAGAGACUGUGGUAAGCGCGUCUCAAAAAAGGGCGCGAAUGACCAGUUCUUCUGAAAAGAAUGUACAUGAUCACCCAUAUUGUGUAAAGUCUCCUCGUAGAGUGAGAAGUCAAGUUGAUGAUCUAAUAAAUAAAGUUGAAAAUUUACAGAAGAGAUUAAAGACAUCUCAGAAGAAAACCAAUAGAAGGAAUAAGAAGGUUAGCACGUUGACUGCAGUGGUAAGUGAAUUGAGAGAAAAAAAUCUGAUCAAUAGUGAUUGUGUGACUAUUCUAGAAUCAACUUUUUCUGGAGUUCCAAAGGAACUUAUGAAGAGGUUGGUGACGCAAAAGAAAAAGAAAAAUCUUGGGGCGUAUCCACCUGAGCUAAGGUCAUUUGCCCUGACCUUGAAAUUUUAUUCAACUAAAGCGUAUAACUAUGUGCGAAAAAGUUUUGAUUUAGGGCUGCCACAUGUAAACGUGAUUCGGUCAUGGUAUAGUUCGAUGAAUGGCGAGCCAGGUUUUACAAAGGAUGCGCUGACAGCUCUGAAAGCCAAAGUUCUAGCUGCAAAAAGAGAUAACCAAGAAGUUGUUUGUGCACUAAUGCUCGAUGAGAUGGCCAUACGCAAACAUGUUGAAUGGGAUGGUAAGCAGUUCCGUGGUUAUGUUGACCUUGGCACAGGCAUCAAUGACGACUCGCUGCCCGAAGCAACAGAUGCUCUUGUUUUUAUGGCAGUCUCGGUGAACUCCGGUUGGAAAGUACCAUGCGGAUAUUUUCUAGUGAAUGGUCUUACCGGAGAGCAGAAAGCAAACUUGACCAAAGAAUGCAUAACCAAGUUGCACGAAGUGGGGGUGAAGGUGGUGUCUUUUACCUGUGAUGGGCCCACGUCUCACCAGGCGAUGUUGAAAUUGCUCGGCGCUCAACUGUCACCUGAUAACUUGCAAGCGUACUUCCAACAUCCAUGUGACCCGAAAGCAAAGAUCUACAUCUUCCUAGAUGCUUGUCACAUGAUAAAGUUGGUAAGAAAUACCAUGUCGGACUGGAAGGUCCUAAAGGAUAAGGAUGGCAACGCCAUCAAGUGGCAAUUCGUGGAAGAAUUGCAUAAAUUACAAGAGUCAGAGGGCUUACAUCUUGCCAAUAAGCUCCGAUCCGCUCAUAUCAAAUGGAAGCCACAGAAAAUGAAGGUAAACCUAGCAGCACAGGCACUCAGUUCGAGUGUUGCAGAUGCCUUGGAAUAUUGUGAAGGUAAGCUGAAAUUGCCACAAUUUCAAGGGUGUGGUCCAACAGUUCAAUGCAUUCGUGUUUUUGAUCAUCUUUUUGAUGUUCUGAAUUCCAGGAAUCCGUUGGCGAGAAAUUUCAAGGCGCCAAUUAGAAGAUCAAACUAUCAGUACACAAAGAGGUUUCUCGAUGAGGCAAGUGAGUACAUUCGAAAUCUAAAAGGUCCUGAUGGCCAGUCGAUCCUUACGUCAAAAAGGAAAACAGGAUUUCUUGGUUUCCUUUUGUGUAUCAAUGC